This is a non-coding RNA of Gymnothorax javanicus (giant moray), 76 nucleotides long. The record is from the annotation of a GenBank genome assembly. NCBI's taxonomy places the organism in Eukaryota, Metazoa, Chordata, Actinopteri, Anguilliformes, Muraenidae.
GACGCGAUAGUGCAGUGGUUAAGUAGGCUUGAAUUGGGAUCUAAAGGUCCUGAGUUCAAGCCCCGGACUCGCGGUG